AACUGUCUCCAUUUCCUCCUCUUUCGUAAUUUUGAGUUCCCAAUUAAAAAAAGAUAGUCUUGUCAUAGUCAGAAGAGCGAGGGGAAGCUUAAAUAUUAGUAUAUUAUUAAUCCAUGACAAAAAUCCUCCUUUUUCUUGAUUUCAUGUCCUUUGGUCUCUCGUGUUCUUGAGAAGCACCACAAAGUUAAAUAAACACUUUUUCCUAUCUUCAGAUCUCUCUCUCUCUCUCUUGUUCUUGUCUUUUAUCUCC
RNAcentral lists this long non-coding RNA (250 nucleotides) under Capsella grandiflora. RNAcentral's name for it is "long non-coding RNA (CGRA_LNC001475)". The record is from RNAcentral. Lineage: Eukaryota; Viridiplantae; Streptophyta; Magnoliopsida; Brassicales; Brassicaceae.